RNAcentral lists this microRNA (20 nucleotides) under Tetranychus urticae (two-spotted spider mite). RNAcentral describes it as "tur-miR-137-3p". Its record names the gene tur-miR-137-3p. The record is from miRBase by way of RNAcentral. Lineage: Eukaryota; Metazoa; Arthropoda; Arachnida; Trombidiformes; Tetranychidae.
UUAUUGCUUGAGAAUACACG